GGUUCGGUGGCGUAGUUGGUUAUCGCAUCUGUCUUACAUUGCAGGUUUGAGGAUGAUCGUAUCACAGAAGGUCCCCAGUUCGAGCCUGGGUCGAAUCA
This is a non-coding RNA of Marasmius sp. AFHP31, 98 nucleotides long. The record is from the annotation of a GenBank genome assembly. Lineage: Eukaryota; Fungi; Basidiomycota; Agaricomycetes; Agaricales; Marasmiaceae.